This 730-nucleotide long non-coding RNA is filed under the name Coturnix japonica (Japanese quail). RNAcentral's name for it is "lncRNA (ENSCJPG00005008459.1)". The record is from RNAcentral. Lineage: Eukaryota; Metazoa; Chordata; Aves; Galliformes; Phasianidae.
UACAGUCACAAGAAAGGGAGUAACAGUCAGUGUUAUAUCCCCAUAUAUGCUUUCUGGGCUUUACAUCUGCAAGAAAAUUCUCCAUACUGCUCUCGUCCUGCCUCCUAUCUCCCUAGAGCAGCUGACACCAAGUGUUUGCAGCACUGGAUCCUUAGUCAUCAAGGGGAACAAGGCUGACAGCAGAGGUUGAUGCCUGCAGAGAGAAAACAGUAACCAGCUGAUGCUUCAAACAGCAGCUGCAGCAUCCACAGAUUCACCGACUCCCACUCAGAGACCUUGCCUGGAUCCAUCAACAUGCAGCAGAUAGGGCAUAUGCAUCCAUGGAGAAGCCUCCUCUAGGCAGAGAGAGCACUGACCGUGGGUAUGAGGAGGUCUUUGUCCCACUGAGACCAACAAGGACGGAGCUCUAUGUUGAUGAGACCCAGGGGAAGCAGAGCAAUUCAUUCUGCAGAGGUUUCUGGGAGCUCCCAGAUGCAGGCUGUUCUGCAUUAUUCUUUCUUCUGUGCCUCUUGUGGUAUUCGUGACAGCCAGUGACAAUGUCAUAGAAGGCUACCACGUUGGUUGAGCAUGACUUCCCCCUGGUGAACCCAUGAUGGCUACUCCUGAUAACCUCCUUUUCUUCCAAUUGUUUGGAGAUGGCAUCCAGCACAACCUGUUCCAUCACCUUUCCAGGGACAGAGGUGAGGCUGAAUAUAAUAAAAUAUUAGUUAAGAUUUAUUUAUUUAUUUUU